Molecule: ribosomal RNA, 252 nt
Filed under: uncultured bacterium
Lineage: Bacteria
Description: partial 16S ribosomal RNA
Rfam family: Bacterial small subunit ribosomal RNA
Source: RNAcentral
GAUCCUGGCUCAGAGUGAACGCUGGCGGUAGGCCUAACACAUGCAAGUCGAACGGCAGCACAGGAGAGCUUGCUCUCUGGGUGGCGAGUGGCGGACGGGUGAGGAAUACAUCGGAAUCUACUUUUUCGUGGGGGAUAACGUAGGGAAACUUACGCUAAUACCGCAUACGACCUACGGGUGAAAGCAGGGGAUCUUCGGACCUUGCGCGAUUGAAUGAGCCGAUGUCGGAUUAGCUAGUUGGCGGGGUAAAGG